GGCCACUGCUAUCGGGGUCCGACUAAGCCAUGCGAGUCAAGGGGGCGUCCCUCUGGGACGCCACCGGCGCACGGCUCAGUAACACGUGGCUAACCUACCCUCGGGUGGGGGAUAACCUCGGGAAACUGAGGCUAAUCCCCCAUAGGGGAGGAGGUCUGGAAUGAUCCUCCCCGAAAGCGCCUCACGGCGCGCCCGAGGAUGGGGCUGCGGCGGAUUAGGUAGUUGGUGGGGUAACGGCCCACCAAGCCUACGAUCCGUACGGGCCCUGAGAGGGGGAGCCCGGAGAUGGACACUGAGACACGGGUCCAGGCCCUACGGGGCGCAGCAGGCGCGAAACCUCCGCAAUGCGCGAAAGCGCGACGGGGGGACCCCGAGUGCCCACGCUCUGCGUGGGCUUUUCCGGAGUGUAAACAGCUCCGGGAAUAAGGGCUGGGCAAGUCCGGUGCCAGCAGCCGCGGUAAUACCGGCGGCCCAAGUGGUGGCCACUGUUAUUGGGCCUAAAGCGUCCGUAGCCGGCCCGGUAAGUCUCUGCUUAAAUCCUGCGGCUCAACCGCAGGGCUGGCAGAGAUACUGCCGGGCUUGGGACCGGGAGAGGCCGGGGGUACCCCAGGGGUAGCGGUGAAAUGCGUUGAUCCCUGGGGGACCACCUGUGGCGAAGGCGCCCGGCUGGAACGGGUCCGACGGUGAGGGACGAAGGCCGGGGGAGCAAACCGGAUUAGAUACCCGGGUAGUCCCGGCUGUAAACUCUGCGGACUAGGUGUCGCGUCGGCUUAGGGCCGACGCGGUGCCGAAGGGAAGCCGUUAAGUCCGCCGCCUGGGGAGUACGGUCGCAAGACUGAAACUUAAAGGAAUUGGCGGGGGAGCACUACAACGGGUGGAGCCUGCGGUUUAAUUGGAUUCAACGCCGGGAAUCUUACCAGGGGCGACGGCAGGAUGAAGGCCAGGUUGACGACCUUGCCAGACGCGCCGAGAGGUGGUGCAUGGCCGUCGUCAGCUCGUACCGUGAGGCGUCCUGUUAAGUCAGGUAACGAGCGAGACCCGUGCCCCAUGUUGCUACCCUCCCCUCCGGGGGAGGGGCACUCAUGGGGGACCGCCGGCGCAAAGCCGGAGGAAGGUGCGGGCAACGACAGGUCCGCAUGCCCCGAAUCCCUGGGCUACACGCGGGCUACAAUGGCCGGGA
RNAcentral lists this ribosomal RNA (1180 nucleotides) under Methanocaldococcus sp. Mc-S-85. Its description in RNAcentral is "bacterial SSU rRNA". It matches the Rfam family "Archaeal small subunit ribosomal RNA", at positions 22 to 1195 of the family's 1478-position model. The record is from RNAcentral. Lineage: Archaea; Methanobacteriati; Methanobacteriota; Methanococci; Methanococcales; Methanocaldococcaceae.